CGCAUCCAUUGCAAAAGCAUGCCCGAGCAAAGAGAGGUCAGCAGAGGGCAUAGUAGCGAUCCGCCGAAUCCAACCGCGACGCGAAGGCC
Molecule: non-coding RNA, 89 nt
Organism: Rhodopirellula baltica SH 1
Lineage: Bacteria; Pseudomonadati; Planctomycetota; Planctomycetia; Pirellulales; Pirellulaceae
Source: Rfam